This 140-nucleotide small nucleolar RNA is filed under the name Leersia perrieri. RNAcentral's name for it is "snoRNA snoF1_F2". It matches the Rfam family "Small nucleolar RNA F1/F2/snoR5a". From Rfam's summary of the family: This family contains F1, F2 and snoR5a sequences, all of which are members of the the H/ACA class of snoRNA that guide the sites of modification of uridines to pseudouridines. The record is from Rfam by way of RNAcentral. Lineage: Eukaryota; Viridiplantae; Streptophyta; Magnoliopsida; Poales; Poaceae.
CAAUGCCAUUUGGUAUCUGACAUGUAGUCUUCUUUUGUGACUAUCUGUCUCGAAAUAUGGCAUAUAAUAAGGGGGAACGGACCUUGCGACAUUGGUGGCUCCUCUGAGAUCCUCCAAUUACUAUAUUGCCGUUUAUAUUU